Long non-coding RNA from Myxocyprinus asiaticus (Chinese sucker), 1152 nucleotides. RefSeq lists it as uncharacterized. Lineage: Eukaryota; Metazoa; Chordata; Actinopteri; Cypriniformes; Catostomidae. The record is from RefSeq and is a predicted model, not a curated record. The transcript has 3 exons.
UAUAUAUAUAUAUACACAAAUACGUCGUGCAAAUCUAAUACAAAUCUGUUAUAUACAGUGCAAGGGAAUGUAAUGGCAGAAGAGGUUGGAUGUGUUGGAUAAAUAUAAGAAAGACUAAACUGUGUAUUGCACAUAGUUAUUGCUCAAUGGGGCAAUUUAACUGUUCAUGAGAUGGAUAGCCUGAGGGAAAAAACUGUUCCUGUGCCUGACGGUUCUGCUGCUCAGAGCUCUGAAGCGUUGGCCAGAAGGCAACAGUUCAAAAAUGUAGUGGGCAGGGUGAGUGGGGUCCAGAGUGAUUUUUCCAGCCCUUUUCCUCACUCUGGAAGUGUGUAGUUCUUGAACGGGGUGCAGGGGGCAACCAAUAAUCCUCUCAGUAUUCCAAACUGUCCUUUGUAGUCUUCUGAUGUCUGAUUUCGUAGCUGAACCAAACCAGACAGUUAUUGAAGUGCAGAGGACAGACUCAAUGACUGCUGAGUACAGCUGUAUCAGCAGCACCUGUGGCAGGUUGAAUUUCCUCAACUGGCAAAGGAAGCACAACCUCUGCUGGGCCUUUUUCACAAUGGAGUCAAUGUGUGUCUCCCACUUCAGGUCCCAUGAGAUGGUAGUGCCCAGGAACCUGAAUGACUCCACUGCUGCCACAGUGCUGUUUAGAAUGGUGAGGGGGUCAGUGUUGGGGUGUUCCUCCUAAAGUCCACAAUCAUCUCCACCAUUUUGAGCGUGUUCAGCUCAAGGUUGUUUUGACUGCACCAGACAGCCAGCUGUUUAACCUCCCUUCUGUAUGCAGACUCAUCGUCAUCUCGGAUGAGGCCGAGAUCAGAACAUCAGUGUUUCCUUUCAUGAUGCUCAUGUAGUCCAGGUGUUACAUCUGGUCUCAGACCUGUGCUCUCAACCUGUGGUUUUCCCCAUGAGCAUGAAUCAUAAAGCAGCAGGAUGUGUGUGUGCAAAUGUGUCACACAUGCUUUGCGAGAUUUGCCAGCGUUGGCCUGUCUUCAUCCUACUGAUACAGUGAACAGAAAUGGCUGCACAGACAGAUGUCCCCUUUUGCCUUAAAGUGAGCAUGGGGAGAGCGGCAUAAAGAGAGCGACACAACGCUCAGUGGGAGAGACUGGAUAUGACAGAGCCGAGCCAGAGCAACGAUUCCCGAGUAGUGAA